AGAGGCAUUGAUAUGCAGCAAGUUUCUUUAGUCAUCAACUAUGACCUUCCCACCAAUAGGGAAAAUUAUAUCCACAGAAUCGGUUGAGGUGGACAGUUUGGCCAUAAAGGUGUGGCUAUUAACAUGGUGACAGAAGAAGACAAAAGGACUCUUUGAGACAUCAAGACCCUCUACAACACCUCCAUUGAGGAAAUGCCCCUCAAUGUUGCCGACCUCAUCUGA
RNAcentral lists this long non-coding RNA (222 nucleotides) under Homo sapiens (human). RNAcentral's name for it is "non-protein coding lnc-SOAT1-4:1". Lineage: Eukaryota; Metazoa; Chordata; Mammalia; Primates; Hominidae. The record is from RNAcentral.